RNAcentral lists this ribosomal RNA (253 nucleotides) under uncultured bacterium. RNAcentral describes it as "partial 16S ribosomal RNA". It matches the Rfam family "Bacterial small subunit ribosomal RNA", at positions 524 to 776 of the family's 1533-position model. The record is from RNAcentral.
UACGUAGGGGGCAAGCGUUGUCCGGAAUCAUUGGGCGUAAAGAGCGUGUAGGCGGCCUGGUAAGUCCGCUGUGAAAAUCCAGGGCUCAACCCUGGAAUGCCGGUGGAAACUGUCAGGCUCGAGUCCGGAAGAGGCGAGUGGAAUUCCUGGUGUAGCGGUGAAAUGCGCAGAUAUCAGGAGGAACACCAAUGGCGAAGGCAGCUCGCUGGGACGGUACUGACGCUGAGACGCGAAAGCGUGGGGAGCAAACAGG